GACGAACGCUGGCGGCGUGCUUAACACAUGCAAGUCGAACGAAGUGGCGAACGGGUGAGUAACGCGUAAUCACCCUGCCCUUCAGAGGGGGACAACAGUUGGAAACGACUGCUAAUACCGCAUACUGACGGGGGGGAUUGCGUCUGAGUGGCAAGUUGGAGGGGUAACGGCCCACCACGGCGAUGAUAAGUAGCCGGUCUGAGAGGAUGAACGGCCACAUUGGGACUGAGACACGGCCCAGACUCCUACGGGAGGCAGCAGUGGGGAAUCUUCCGCAAUGGACGAAAGUCUGACGGAGCAACGCCGCGUGAGUGAGGACGGCUUUCGGGUUGUAAAGCUCUGUUAAUCGGGACGCGGUACCGGAAUAGAAAGCCACGGCUAACUACGUGCCAGCAGCCGCGGUAAUAC
RNAcentral lists this ribosomal RNA (408 nucleotides) under uncultured bacterium. RNAcentral describes it as "partial 16S ribosomal RNA". It matches the Rfam family "Bacterial small subunit ribosomal RNA", at positions 28 to 526 of the family's 1533-position model. The record is from RNAcentral.